Molecule: ribosomal RNA, 364 nt
Filed under: Ixodes ricinus (castor bean tick)
Lineage: Eukaryota; Metazoa; Arthropoda; Arachnida; Ixodida; Ixodidae
Description: partial 16S ribosomal RNA
Source: RNAcentral
UUGCUGUGGUAUUUUGACUAUACGAAGGUAUUGAAAUAAGAUUUUAAAUGAGUGCUAAGAGAAUGAUUAAACAAUUAAAAGCUUUCUUUAAUUGAAUAAUUGAAUUUAAUUUUUUAGUGCAAAAGCAAAAAUAAAAAUUAGGGACAAGAAGACCCUAUGAAUUUUUUAUUAAAUUUUAUAAAACUUUAUAUAAAAUUUAAUUUAAUUGGGGUGAUGGAAAAAGAAUAAAUAUCUUUUUUUUUAAAAAAAAAUUGGUUCCGUUUUUAGCGAUUAAAUGAAAAAAAUACUCUAGGGAUAACAGCGUAAUAAUUUUGGAUAGUUCAUAUAGAUAAAAUAGUUUGCGACCUCGAUGUUGGAUUAGGAU